This 1681-nucleotide small RNA is filed under the name Pan troglodytes (chimpanzee). RNAcentral describes it as "transcribed unitary pseudogene". Lineage: Eukaryota; Metazoa; Chordata; Mammalia; Primates; Hominidae. The record is from RNAcentral.
AUGGGCAGCAUCGAACAAACAACUGAGAUCCUGUUGUGCCUAUCACCUGUUGAAGUUGCCAGUCUUAAGGAAGGAAUCAAUUUCUUUCGCAAUAAGAGCACUGGCAAAGACUACAUCUUGUACAAGAAUAAGAGCCGACUGAGGGCAUGCAAGAAUAUGUGCAAGCACCAAGGAGGCCUGUUCAUAAAAGAUAUCGAGGAUUUAGCCGGAAGUUGUUGAAAUGGAUGAAAACAACAGACUUUUACUUUUAGAACUGAAUCCUCCUAACCCUUGGGACUUACAGCCCAGAUCUCCUGAAGAGUUGGCUUUUGGAGAAGUCCAGAUAACAUAUCUCACUCAUGCCUGCAUGGACCUCAAGUUAGGAGACAAGAGAAUGGUGUUUGACCCUUGGUUAAUCGGUCCUGCUUUUGCCCGUGGAUGGUGGUUGCUCCAUGAGCCUCCAUCUGAUUGGCUGGAGAGGCUGUGCCAGGCAGACCUCAUUUACAUCAGUCAUCUGCACUCAGACCACCUGAGUUACCCCACACUGAAAAAGCUUGCUGGGAGAAGACCAGAUAUUCCCAUUUAUGUUGGAAACACAGAAAGGCCUGUAUUUUGGAAUCUGAAUCAGAGCGGUGUCCAGUUGACUAAUAUCAAUGUCGUGCCAUUUGGAAUAUGGCAGCAGGUGGACAAAAAUCUUCGAUUCAUGAUCUUGAUGGACGGUGUUCAUCCUGAGAUGGACACUUGCAUUAUUGUGGAGUACAAAGGUCAUAAAAUACUCAAUACAGUAGACUGCACCAGACCCAAUGGGGGAAGGCUGCCUAUGAAGGUUGCUCUAAUGAUGAGUGAUUUUGCUGGAGGAGCAUCAGGCUUUCCAAUGACUUUCAGUGGUGGAAAAUUUACGGAGGAAUGGAAAGCCCAAUUCAUUAAAACAGAAAGGAAGAAGCUCCUGAACUACAAGGCUCGGCUGGUGAAGAACCUGCAACCCCGAAUUUAUUGUCCCUUUGCUGGGUAUUUUGUGGAAUCUCACCCAUCAGACAAGUACAUCAAGGAAACAAACACCAAAAAUGACCCAAAUGAACUCAACAAUCUUAUCAAGAAAAACUCUGAUGUGAUAACAUGGACCCCUCGACCGGGAGCCACCCUUGAUCUGGGAAGAAUGCUGAAGGAUCCAACAGACAGCAAGGGCAUCAUAGAGCCUCCAGAGGGGACAAAAAUUUACAAGGAUUCCUGGGAUUUUGAACCUUAUUUGGAAAUCUUGAAUGCUGCUGUAGGAGAUGAAAUAUUUCUUCACUCAUCCUGGAUAAAAGAAUACUUCACUUGGGCUGGAUUUAAAGAUUACAACCUUGUGGUCAGGAUGAUUGAGACAGAUGAGGACUUCAAUCCUUUUCCUGGAGGAUAUGACUAUUUGGUUGACUUUUUAGAUUUAUCCUUCCCAAAAGAAAGACCACAACGAGAACAUCCCUAUGAGGAAAUCCAUAGCCGGGUGGAUGUCAUCAGACACGUGGUGAAGAAUGGUCUACUCUGGGACGAGUUGUAUAUAGGAUUCCAAACACGGCUCCAGCGGGAUCCUGACAUAUACCAUCACCUGUUUUGGAAUCAUUUUCAAAUAAAACUCCCCCUCACGCCACCCAACUGGAAGUCAUUCCUGAUGUGCUGUGAGCAGAAUGGGCCUGGGAUUUUGCAAGAAUGCAAAACCACAUGA